RNAcentral lists this ribosomal RNA (247 nucleotides) under uncultured bacterium. RNAcentral describes it as "partial 16S ribosomal RNA". It matches the Rfam family "Bacterial small subunit ribosomal RNA", at positions 523 to 769 of the family's 1533-position model. The record is from RNAcentral.
AUACGUAGGUGGCAAGCGUUGUCCGGAUUUACUGGGCGUAAAGAGUAUGUAGGCGGAUAUUUAAGUCAGAUGUGAAAUUCCCGGGCUCAACCUGGGAAGUGCAUUUGAAACUGGGUAUCUAGAGUGCAGGAGAGGGAAGCGGAAUUCCUAGUGUAGCGGUGAAAUGCGUAGAUAUUAGGAAGAACACCAGUGGCGAAGGCGGCUUCCUGGACUGUAACUGACGCUGAGGCACGAAAGCGUGGGGAGC